This 254-nucleotide ribosomal RNA is filed under the name uncultured bacterium. Its description in RNAcentral is "partial 16S ribosomal RNA". It matches the Rfam family "Bacterial small subunit ribosomal RNA", at positions 79 to 334 of the family's 1533-position model. The record is from RNAcentral.
CUUUCUUUGCUGGCGACCGGCGCACGGGUGAGUAACACGUAUCCAACCUGCCCUUUACUCGGGGAUAGCCUUUCGAAAGAAAGAUUAAUACCCGAUAGCAUAAUGAUUCCGCAUGGUUUCAUUAUUAAAGGAUUCCGGUAAAGGAUGGGGAUGCGUUCCAUUAGGUUGUUGGUGAGGUAGCGGCCCACCAAGCCUUCGAUGGAUAGGGGUUCUGAGAGGAAGGUCCCCCACAUUGGAACUGAGACACGGUCCAA